UUCUCCGUAAUCAGGAAUGCGCGGUGUGUCAGAGUCUCUCAAACUCGCAGCACGAAGACUUCUUCGGGUUGUGAGGUUAAGCGAACAAGCGUACACGGUGGAUGCCCUGGCAGUCAGAGGCGAUGAAGGACGUGCUAAUCUGCGAAAAGCGCCGGUAAGGUGAUAUGAACCGUUAUAACCGGCGAUUUCCGAACGGGGGGUACCCAAA
This 208-nucleotide ribosomal RNA is filed under the name Cronobacter sakazakii. Its description in RNAcentral is "partial 23S ribosomal RNA". The stretch from base 75 to 208 matches the Rfam family "Bacterial large subunit ribosomal RNA", at positions 1 to 132 of the family's 2925-position model. The record is from RNAcentral. Lineage: Bacteria; Pseudomonadati; Pseudomonadota; Gammaproteobacteria; Enterobacterales; Enterobacteriaceae.